UAGCCCUUAAGCUUUACACGCGUUAGACGAACGGUCUGGAAAGUCCGACGAUACAGGGUGAUAGUCCCGUAGUUGACGACGUGUGUUCAGUGAAAUCGAGUAGGGCGGGACACGUGAUAUCCUGUCUGAAUAUGGGGGGACCAUCCUCCAAGGCUAAAUACUACUGACUGACCGAUAGUGAACCAGUACCGUGAGGGAAAGGCGAAAAGAACCCCUGUGAGGGGAGUGAAAUAGAACCUGAAACCGUGUACGUACAAGCAGUAGGAGCAGGCUUUGUCCUGUGACUGCGUACCUUUUGUAUAAUGGGUCAGCGACUUAUAUUCAGUGGCAAGGUUAACCAUCUAGGGGAGCCGUAGGGAAACCGAGUCUUAACUGGGCGUUCAGUCUCUGGAUAUAGACCCGAAACCAGGUGAUCUAGCCAUGGGCAGGUUGAAGGUUGAGUAACAUCAACUGGAGGACCGAACCGACUAAUGUUGAAAAAUUAGCGGAUGACUUGUGGCUAGGGGUGAAAGGCCAAUCAAACCUGGAGAUAGCUGGUUCUCCCCGAAAGCUAUUUAGGUAGCGCCUCGGACGAAUACUACUGGGGGUAGAGCACUGUUAAGGCUAGGGGGUCAUCCCGACUUACCAACCCUUUGCAAACUCCGAAUACCAGUAAGUACUAUCCGGGAGACACACGGCGGGUGCUAACGUCCGUCGUGGAGAGGGAAACAACCCAGACCGCCAGCUAAGGUCCCAAAUUACUACUAAGUGGGAAACGAUGUGGGAAGGCUCAGACAGCCAGGAUGUUGGCUUAGAAGCAGCCAUCAUUUAAAGAAAGCGUAAUAGCUCACUGGUCGAGUCGGCCUGCGCGGAAGAUGUAACGGGGCUAAGUAGUAAACCGAAGCUGCGGCAAUGUGCUUUUGCACAUUGGGUAGGGGAGCGUUCUGUAAGCGGUUGAAGGUGUGUGGUAACGCAUGCUGGACGUAUCAGAAGUGCGAAUGCUGACAUGAGUAACGAUAAAGGGGGUGAAAAACCUCCUCGCCGGAAGACCAAGGGUUCCUGUCCAACGUUAAUCGGGGCAGGGUAAGUCGACCCCUAAGGCGAGGCCGAAAGGCGUAGUCGAUGGGAAACGGGUUAAUAUUCCCGUACUUCUUACAAUUGCGAUGGGGGGACGGAGAAGGCUAGGUGGGCCUGGCGACGGUUGUCCAGGUUCAAGUGCGUAGGCUUAAGAGUUAGGUAAAUCCGGCUCUUUUUAAGGCUGAGACACGACGUCGAGCCACUACGGUGGUGAAGUCAUUGAUGCCAUGCUUCCAGGAAAAGCCUCUAAGCUUCAGAUUGUAAGGAAUCGUACCCCAAACCGACACAGGUGGUCGGGUAGAGAAUACCAAGGCGCUUGAGAGAACUCGGGUGAAGGAACUAGGCAAAAUGGUACCGUAACUUCGGGAGAAGGUACGCUCUUGAUGGUGAAGUCCCU
RNAcentral lists this ribosomal RNA (1453 nucleotides) under Vibrio parahaemolyticus. RNAcentral's name for it is "partial 23S ribosomal RNA". It matches the Rfam family "Bacterial large subunit ribosomal RNA", at positions 304 to 1770 of the family's 2925-position model. The record is from RNAcentral. Lineage: Bacteria; Pseudomonadati; Pseudomonadota; Gammaproteobacteria; Vibrionales; Vibrionaceae.